Molecule: small nucleolar RNA, 138 nt
Organism: Cavia porcellus (domestic guinea pig)
Lineage: Eukaryota; Metazoa; Chordata; Mammalia; Rodentia; Caviidae
Source: Ensembl
GUGUCUCUCAAUCAAGACCUGCAAAUUUGUUGUAGCUGCUUGUUUCAAACAGGAAUUCAAAGAGAAGUCUUUCUAGGAUCUGUUGGUGAUUUCAGAAUUUUGGAAAUGCAACAGUCAGUUCAUUAGAAAGAAAUAGCU